AUUGAACGCUGGCGGCAGGCCUAACACAUGCAAGUCGAGCGGAUGAAGAGAGCUUGCUCCUGGAUUCAGCGGCGGACGGGUGAGUAAUGCCUAGGAAUCUGCCUGGUAGUGGGGGAUAACGUCCGGAAACGGGCGCUAGUACCGCAUACGUCCUGAGGGAGAAAGUGGGGGAUCUUCGGACCUCACGCUAUCAGAUGAGCCUAGGUCGGAUUAGCUAGUUGGUGGGGUAAAGGCCUACCAAGGCGACGAUCCGUAACUGGUCUGAGAGGAUGAUCAGUCACACUGGAACUGAGACACGGUCCAGACUCCUACGGGAGGCAGCAGUGGGGAAUAUUGGACAAUGGGCGAAAGCCUGAUCCAGCCAUGCCGCGUGUGUGAAGAAGGUCUUCGGAUUGUAAAGCACUUUAAGUUGGGAGGAAGGGCAGUAAGUUAAUACCUUGCUGUUUUGACGUUACCAACAGAAUAAGCACCGGCUAACUUCGUG
Molecule: ribosomal RNA, 484 nt
Filed under: uncultured bacterium
Lineage: Bacteria
Description: partial 16S ribosomal RNA
Rfam family: Bacterial small subunit ribosomal RNA
Source: RNAcentral